AGGUGCCCUAUUAUAGAUUGAGAGCCAGACCUGGAAUCCAGAAAUCCUAGGUUCAAAUAUGACCUCAAGCACUUCCUAACUAUGUGACCCUGGGUAAAUUACUUAACUCCAUUUGCCUAACCAUUACUCUCUUCUGCAUUGGAACUAAUACUUAGUACUGAUUCUGAGAUGUAGGGCAAGGGUUUAAAAAAAAAGAAGUCAGGCCUGUAAAAGAAAGCUAGGUCAGUCUGUGGUUCCCAGAACAGAAAUUGGAAGAAUACCAUCUAGAGUCCCCACAGAUGAUCCUGCACUGCCACAUACAGUAUGUUCUGGUCCCAGAAGAAGAAACUUACCUGUUCUAUCAUGAUCUUUUGUGAUAAAUUGUUUAUGUAGAAAAGAAACAAAUGUUUGUGGGACCAAACUAGAAAAGCAAGAGGUCAAAGAAUACUUCUGAUAUCAUUCUACCAUGGGAAGAGAGGGAGGAGAGCCUGAUGAUAUCUGGAUGUUUUGAAGGUUGGAAAAAAAAUGAAACUGAAGAAUUGGGAGGCCCUCUUUGGGAUUUAGUUCAUCAGCCAAAAUGCCUCCAAUUUGAAAGUACAUCUUAUGCCGGAUAAGAGCUUCUCUGGGGAAGACCAGCCAACGCCGGGGAAAUGGAGUAGGAAAUUCUUCAUUCCCAAUAAAGGACCAUAAAAUGAAACCAUGAAAUUGGUUUUCACUUCGGUUUGGGACUUCGUAAGGAACGCAGCUUUGCUUUGUAACGCUUCUGCCUACAUGUACUGGCCAGCACUGUCUAGCUCGGAGGGCUCCUGGCCCUCACCUCACACUCCAUCUCACAGGCGAUCCGCUCUCCAGACCAGGAGGGCUUCCCCCUUACACUUGACUUGUAGAACCCCAAGGGGUUUCCAGAACUCAACGAAUUUUUCCCAGUGCCUCCCUCGGAUCCCUUUUUUAAAAAUCUUGACAAUUUAUACUCAUUAUCAAAUGAUAUAAUAUUUGCGAAGGCUUAGCGAGGGGCCCUGGCCCACAGUAGAGAAUAGGCUGUCCAACUACUCAAAUAAAUCUUCCGACACUCUC
This is a long non-coding RNA of Monodelphis domestica (gray short-tailed opossum), 1053 nucleotides long. RefSeq lists it as uncharacterized. The record is from RefSeq and is a predicted model, not a curated record. Lineage: Eukaryota; Metazoa; Chordata; Mammalia; Didelphimorphia; Didelphidae.